Olea europaea var. sylvestris is the source of this 97-nucleotide long non-coding RNA. RefSeq lists it as uncharacterized. The transcript is spliced from 2 exons. Lineage: Eukaryota; Viridiplantae; Streptophyta; Magnoliopsida; Lamiales; Oleaceae. The record is from RefSeq and is a predicted model, not a curated record.
CGAUUUUCAACAUACUGUAGAUUCAACGAGAUUAGUUCGAGUCGAUUGGAACAGUGGAGAAUUGGUGAUGCGGACUGCCAAGUGGAUAAAGAAUAGA